Molecule: transfer RNA, 69 nt
Filed under: Marmota monax (woodchuck)
Lineage: Eukaryota; Metazoa; Chordata; Mammalia; Rodentia; Sciuridae
Description: tRNA.Sup
Source: RNAcentral
GGUAUAUAGCUCAGUUGGCAGAGUGCUUGCCUUUAAUGCAGAAGGCCCUGCAUUCAAUCCCCAGCACCA